CGAAAUGGUGAUUUAUGUAAUAAAGUUGGUGGUCAAUGUCCCACGCCUUGGAGUUAUCUUGGCCGGAUUAAGUCGAAUGCUGUGUACGCCAUGGUGGAAAUAAGUGUUGGGACCCACGCAACGUCCAUAGAUGGGUCAAUCAGUUAU
This is a non-coding RNA of Tribolium castaneum (red flour beetle), 147 nucleotides long. Lineage: Eukaryota; Metazoa; Arthropoda; Insecta; Coleoptera; Tenebrionidae. The record is from RefSeq and is marked provisional.